AGAGUUUGAUCCUGGCUCAGAACGAACGCUGGCGGCAGGCUUAACACAUGCAAGUCGAACGCGUGUAGCAAUACACGAGUGGCGCACGGGUGAGUAACGCGUGGAUAUCUGCCUUUUGGUUCGGAAUAACCCCGGGAAACUGGGGCUAAUACCGGAUGGUUCCUUCGGGAUAAAGAUUUAUCGCCAAAAGAUGAGUCCGCGUACGAUUAGCUAGUUGGUGAGGUAAUGGCUCACCAAGGCGACGAUCGUUAGCUGGUCUGAGAGGACGAUCAGCCACACUGGGACUGAGACACGGCCCAGACUCCUACGGAAGGCAGCAGUGGGGAAUAUUGGACAAUGGGGGCAACCCUGAUCCAGCCAUGCCGCGUGAGUGAUGAAGGCCUUCGGGUUGUAAAGCUCUUUUGGCGGGGACGAUGAUGACGGUACCCGCAGAAUAAGCCCCGGCUAACUUCGUGCCAGCAGCCGCGGUAAGACGAAGGGGGCUAGCGUUGUUCGGAAUUACUGGGCGUAAAGCGCGUGUAGGCGGUUGUUCAAGUCGGGUGUGAAAGCCUUGAGCUCAACUCAAGAAAUGCACUCGGUACUGGAUGACUAGAGGACCGGAGAGGAUAGUGGAAUUCCCAGUGUAGUGGUGAAAUACGUAGAGAUUGGGAAGAACACCAGUGGCGAAGGCGGCUAUCUGGACGGUUUCUGACGCUAAGACGCGAAAGCGUGGGGAGCAAACAGGAUUAGAUACCCUAGUAGUCC
RNAcentral lists this ribosomal RNA (744 nucleotides) under uncultured bacterium. RNAcentral's name for it is "bacterial SSU rRNA". It matches the Rfam family "Bacterial small subunit ribosomal RNA", at positions 8 to 796 of the family's 1533-position model. The record is from RNAcentral.